AAAUUGAAGAGUUUGAUCAUGGCUCAGAUUGAACGCUGGCGGCAGGCCUAACACAUGCAAGUCGAGCGGUAGCACAGAGAGCUUGCUCUCGGGUGACGAGCGGCGGACGGGUGAGUAAUGUCUGGGAAACUGCCUGAUGGAGGGGGAUAACUACUGGAAACGGUAGCUAAUACCGCAUAACGUCGCAAGACCAAAGUGGGGGACCUUCGGGCCUCAUGCCAUCAGAUGUGCCCAGAUGGGAUUAGCUAGUAGGUGGGGUAACGGCUCACCUAGGCGACGAUCCCUAGCUGGUCUGAGAGGAUGACCAGCCACACUGGAACUGAGACACGGUCCAGACUCCUACGGGAGGCAGCAGUGGGGAAUAUUGCACAAUGGGCGCAAGCCUGAUGCAGCCAUGCCGCGUGUGUGAAGAAGGCCUUCGGGUUGUAAAGCACUUUCAGCGGGGAGGAAGGCGAUAAGGUUAAUAACCUUGUCGAUUGACGUUACCCGCAGAAGAAGCACCGGCUAACUCCGUGCCAGCAGCCGCGGUAAUACGGAGGGUGCAAGCGUUAAUCGGAAUUACUGGGCGUAAAGCGCACGCAGGCGGUCUGUCAAGUCGGAUGUGAAAUCCCCGGGCUCAACCUGGGAACUGCAUUCGAAACUGGCAGGCUAGAGUCUUGUAGAGGGGGGUAGAAUUCCAGGUGUAGCGGUGAAAUGCGUAGAGAUCUGGAGGAAUACCGGUGGCGAAGGCGGCCCCCUGGACAAAGACUGACGCUCAGGUGCGAAAGCGUGGGGAGCAAACAGGAUUAGAUACCCUGGUAGUCCACGCUGUAAACGAUGUCGAUUUGGAGGUUGUGCCCUUGAGGCGUGGCUUCCGGAGCUAACGCGUUAAAUCGACCGCCUGGGGAGUACGGCCGCAAGGUUAAAACUCAAAUGAAUUGACGGGGGCCCGCACAAGCGGUGGAGCAUGUGGUUUAAUUCGAUGCAACGCGAAGAACCUUACCUGGUCUUGACAUCCACAGAACUUUCCAGAGAUGGAUUGGUGCCUUCGGGAACUGUGAGACAGGUGCUGCAUGGCUGUCGUCAGCUCGUGUUGUGAAAUGUUGGGUUAAGUCCCGCAACGAGCGCAACCCUUAUCCUUUGUUGCCAGCGGUUAGGCCGGGAACUCAAAGGAGACUGCCAGUGAUAAACUGGAGGAAGGUGGGGAUGACGUCAAGUCAUCAUGGCCCUUACGACCAGGGCUACACACGUGCUACAAUGGCAUAUACAAAGAGAAGCGACCUCGCGAGAGCAAGCGGACCUCAUAAAGUAUGUCGUAGUCCGGAUUGGAGUCUGCAACUCGACUCCAUGAAGUCGGAAUCGCUAGUAAUCGUAGAUCAGAAUGCUACGGUGAAUACGUUCCCGGGCCUUGUACACACCGCCCGUCACACCAUGGGAGUGGGUUGCAAAAGAAGUAGGUAGCUUAACCUUCGGGAGGGCGCUUACCACUUUGUGAUUCAUGACUGGGGUGAAGUCGUAACAAGGUAACCGUAGGGGAACCUGCGGUUGGAUCACCUCCUUA
RNAcentral lists this ribosomal RNA (1540 nucleotides) under Klebsiella variicola. RNAcentral describes it as "bacterial SSU rRNA". It matches the Rfam family "Bacterial small subunit ribosomal RNA". The record is from RNAcentral. RNAcentral also lists the same sequence under 1 other name. Lineage: Bacteria; Pseudomonadati; Pseudomonadota; Gammaproteobacteria; Enterobacterales; Enterobacteriaceae.